UACAGAGACUGCGAGCGUUAUUCGGAUUCACUGGGCGUAAAGGGUGCGCAGGCGGCCGUGUGUGUGAGGCGUGAAAGCCCGGGGCUUAACCCCGGAAUUGCACCUCAAACUACACGGCUAGAGCAUUGGAGAGGGUAGCGGAAUUCACGGUGUAGCAGUGAAAUGCGUAGAUAUCGUGAGGAACACCAGAGGCGAAGGCGGCUACCUGGACAAUUGCUGACGCUCAGGCACGAAAGCGUGGGGAGCAAAAAGG
This 253-nucleotide ribosomal RNA is filed under the name uncultured bacterium. RNAcentral's name for it is "partial 16S ribosomal RNA". It matches the Rfam family "Bacterial small subunit ribosomal RNA", at positions 524 to 776 of the family's 1533-position model. The record is from RNAcentral.